UGUUUCGCUGACGAGUGGCGGACGGGUGAGUAAUGUCUGGGAAACUGCCUGAUGGAGGGGGAUAACUACUGGAAACGGUAGCUAAUACCGCAUAAUGUCGCAAGACCAAGGAGGGGGACCUUCGGGCCUCUUGCCAUCGGAUGUGCCCAGAUGGGAUUAGCUAGUAGGUGGGGUAACGGCUCACCUAGGCGACGAUCCCUAGCUGGUCUGAGAGGAUGACCAGCCACACUGGAACUGAGACACGGUCCAGACUCCUACGGGAGGCAGCAGUGGGGAAUAUUGCACAAUGGGCGCAAGCCUGAUGCAGCCAUGCCGCGUGUAUGAAGAAGGCCUUCGGGUUGUAAAGUACUUUCAGCGGGGAGGAAGGGAGUAAAGUUAAUACCUUUGCUCAUUGACGUUACCCGCAGAAGAAGCACCGGCUAACUCCGUGCCAGCAGCCGCGGUAAUACGGAGGGUGCAAGCGUUAAUCGGAAUUACUGGGCGUAAAGCGCACGCAGGCGGUUUGUUAAGUCAGAUGUGAAAUCCCCGGGCUCAACCUGGGAACUGCAUCUGAUACUGGCAAGCUUGAGUCUCGUAGAGGGGGGUAGAAUUCCAGGUGUAGCGGUGAAAUGCGUAGAGAUCUGGAGGAA
Molecule: ribosomal RNA, 629 nt
Filed under: uncultured bacterium
Lineage: Bacteria
Description: bacterial SSU rRNA
Rfam family: Bacterial small subunit ribosomal RNA
Source: RNAcentral